This is a transfer RNA of Daphnia magna, 73 nucleotides long. It matches the Rfam family "tRNA". From Rfam's summary of the family: Transfer RNA (tRNA) molecules are approximately 80 nucleotides in length. Their secondary structure includes four short double-helical elements and three loops (D, anti-codon, and T loops). Lineage: Eukaryota; Metazoa; Arthropoda; Branchiopoda; Diplostraca; Daphniidae. The record is from Rfam.
GCCCGGUUAGCUCAGCCGGUAAAGCACGGGACUUUUAAUCCUGAGGACGAGGGUUCAAGUCCCUUAUCGGGCG